This 253-nucleotide ribosomal RNA is filed under the name uncultured bacterium. RNAcentral describes it as "partial 16S ribosomal RNA". It matches the Rfam family "Bacterial small subunit ribosomal RNA", at positions 524 to 776 of the family's 1533-position model. The record is from RNAcentral.
UACGAAGGGGGCUAGCGUUGUUCGGAAUCACUGGGCGUAAAGCGUACGUAGGCGGAUCGUUAAGUCAGGGGUGAAAGCCUGGAGCUCAACUCCAGAACUGCCUUUGAUACUGGCGAUCUUGAGACCGGGAGAGGUGAGUGGAACUGCUAGUGUAGAGGUGAAAUGCGUAGAUAUUGGGAAGAACACCUGAGGCGAAGGCGGGUUGCUGGGCUGAUACUGACGCUGAGGCGCGAAAGCCAGGGGAGCAAACGGG